AGAGUUUGAUCCUGGCUCAGAUUGAACGCUGGCGGCACGCUUAACACAUGCAAGUCGAACGGGAAUUAAAGGUAGCUUGCUACUUUUAAGACUAGUGGCGGACGGGUGAGUAAAGCAUAGGAAUCUGCCUUUAGGAGGGGGAUAACUCGGGGAAACUCGAGCUAAUACCGCGUAAUGUCUACGGACCAAAGUGAGCCUCUGCUUGCAAGCACACACCUAGAGAUGAGCCUAUGUUGGAUUAGCUAGUUGGUAGGGUAAAGGCCUACCAAGGCAACGAUCCAUAGCUGGUUUGAGAGGAUGAUCAGCCACACUGGGACUGAGAUACGGCCCAGACUCCUACGGGAGGCAGCAGUGGGGAAUAUUGGACAAUGGGGGCAACCCUGAUCCAGCGAUGCCGCGUGUGUGAAGAAGGCCUUAGGGUUGUAAAGCACUUUCGGUUGUGAGGAAGAGGGUCGCGUUAAUAGCGCGGCAAGAUGACGUUAGCAACAAAAGAAGCACCGGCUAACUCCGUGCCAGCAGCCGCGGUAAUACGGAGGGUGCAAGCGUUAAUCGGAAUUACUGGGCAUAAAGGGCGCGUAGGCGGACUAUUAAGUUGGAUGUGAAAUCCCCGGGCUUAACCUGGGAACUGCAUCCAAGACUGGUAGACUAGAGUACAGUAGAGGUGAGUGGAAUUCCCGGUGUAGCGGUGAAAUGCGUAGAGAUCGGGAGGAACAUCAGUGGCGAAGGCGACUCACUGGAUCGAUACUGACGCUGAGGCGCGAAGGCGUGGGGAGCAAACAGGAUUAGAGACCCUGGUAGUCCACGCGGUAAACGAUGAGAACUAGCUGUUGGAGUGGGUAGACACUUGAGUGGCGAAGCUAACGCGUGAAGUUCUCCGCCUGGGGAGUACGGUCGCAAGAUUAAAACUCAAAGGAAUUGACGGGGGCCCGCACAAGCGGUGGAGCAUGUGGUUUAAUUCGAUGCAACGCGAAGAACCUUACCUAUCCUUGACAUCCUUCGAAGCUCUUGUAAUGAGAGUGUGCCUUCGGGAACGAAGUGACAGGUGCUGCACGGCUGUCGUCAGCUCGUGUCGUGAGAUGUUGGGUUAAGUCCCGUAACGAACGCAACCCCUAUCCUUAGUUGCCAUCAAGUGAUGUUGGGCACUCUAAGGAGACUGCCGGUGAUAAACCGGAGGAAGGUGGGGAUGAGGUCAAGUCAUCAUGGCCCUUAUGGAUAGGGCUACACACGUGCUACAAUGGCCGGUACAGAGGGACGCGAAGCCGCGAGGUGAAGCAAAACUCACAAAGCCGGUCGUAGUCCGGAUUGCAGUCUGCAACUCGACUGCAUGAAGUUGGAAUCGCUAGUAAUCGCGAAUCAGAAUGUCGCGGUGAAUACGUUCACGGGCCUUGUACACACCGCCCGUCACACCAUGGGAGUGGUUUGUACCAGAAGUAGGUAGGUUAUUUGGCCGCUUACCACGGUAUGGGUCAUGACUGGGGUGAAGUCGUAACAAGGUAACC
RNAcentral lists this ribosomal RNA (1499 nucleotides) under uncultured bacterium. Its description in RNAcentral is "bacterial SSU rRNA". It matches the Rfam family "Bacterial small subunit ribosomal RNA". The record is from RNAcentral.